UGCCGCUUGCGAGGGCGUAUGGUGGAUGCCUUGGCAGACAGUACCGAUGAAGGACGUUUGAGGAUGCGAUAAUCCUAGGGGAGCCUCCAACAUGGCUUUGAUCCUAGGGUCUCCGAAUGGGGGAACCCGCCGGCCGUCAUGGGCCGGCACCGCCUAUGGGCGGGGGGUACGCAGGGAAGUGAAACAUCUCAGUACCUGCAGGAAGGGAUACUCCGUGAGUAGUGGCGAGCGAAAGCGGAUCAGACCAAACCGGUUGCGCGUGAUACCCGUCGGGGGUUGCGUUGCCGGUGUCGUGGGAUCACGUGUCCCGGUUCCGACGGGCCGGGCGGGAGUCAUAAAACGGCUUGCCAGGGGAACAGGCUUGAAGGCCUGGCCGUAGAGGGUGCCAGCCCCGUACCUGGACGUGAGCCGUCUUCCGAUCGUGUUGUCCCAAGUAGCGCGGGCCUCGUGGAAUCCCGCGUGAAUCAGCCCAGACCGUUGGGUAAGUCUAAGCAUACCUGUCUGACCGAUAGCGUACCAGUACCGUGAGGGAAAGGUGAAAAGCACCCCGGGAGGGGAGUGAAACAGUUCCUGAAACCGUGCGCCCACAAACCGUCGGAGCCUCCUUGUGGGGUGACGGCGUGCCUAUCGAAAAAUGAGUCUGCGAGUCAGUGGCGGGUGGCGAGCAUAAGCCGUGUGGCGUAUGCGUAGCGAAAGCGAGUCUUAAAAGGCGUUUGUAGUCGCUUGUCCUGGACCCGAAGCGGGAUGAUCUAGCCCUGGGCAGGUUGAAGCGCGGGUAAGACCGCGUGGAGGACCGAACCCACCUGGGUUGAAAACCGGGGGGAUGACCUGGGGCUAGGGGUGAAAGGCCAAUCAAAUUCCGUGAUAGCUGGUUCUCUCCGAAAUGCAUUUAGGUGCAGCGUCGGUCGAUUGCGUCGCGGGGGUAGAGCUACCGGAUGCUUGCGGGCCCUUGUUGGGUACCAACAGCAGCCGAACUCCGAAUACCGUUGACGUGUAUUCCGGCAGUGAGUCGGCGGGGGAUAAGCUCCGUCGUCGAGAGGGAGACAGCCCAGACCGUCGUCUAAGGUCCCGAAGCGUGUGCUAAGUGGGAAAGGAUGUGGAGUCGCAUAGACAGCCAGGAGGUUGGCUCAGAAGCAGCCAUCCUUGAAAGAGUGCGUAACAGCUCACUGGUCUAGUGGUUCCGCGCCGACAAUGUAGCGGGGCUCAAGCACACCACCGAAGACGCGGCAGCAAUCUUCAUGGUUGCUGGGUAGGAGAGCGUCCUGCGAGGGGCGAAGCGGCCGGGUAACCGUGCCGUGGACUUCGUGGGAGUGAGAAUGCAGACAUGAGUAGCGAGAGACGGGUGAGGAUCCCGUCCGCUGGAUGACCAAGGGUUCCGGGGCCACGUUCGUCGUCCCCGGGUGAGUCGGGUCCUAAGGCGAGGCCGACAGGCGUAGUCGAAUGGAUGAACGGGUGGAUAUUCCCGUACCGACCAUGGACCGGCAAAACCGAGACGGUGAGUACUAACCUCCGCCUCGUGGUGGUUCCUUCCUUCGGGUUGGUAUCGCCGCGUGGCGUUGGGAGCGUAGCCGCAGUAGGUCAGCGCAGGGGUGACACGGAAUGGGAGCCGGCCGCGGAGGUGGUUUUCCGUGGUCAAGCACGCAGCCAGUCAUGUAGGCAAAUCCGCAUGGCGUGCAUGGCGAGGUGUGAUGAUGGGAGCCGUUAUGGCUCGAUAUCCGGUUGUCCAGGCCGUCGAGAAAAGCCUCGGCGUGAGGGCCAUGGCCGCCCGUACCCCAAACCGACACUGGUGGUCAGGUAGAGAAUACCAAGGCGAUCGAGCGAAUCCUGGUCAAGGAACUCGGCAAAUCACUCCCGUGCCUUCGGUAUAAGGGAGACCCACUGGGGUGAAGGACCUUGCGUCCGGAGCUUUGGUGGGUGGCACAGACCAGGGGGUAGCGACUGUUUACCAAAAACACAGGUGCAUGCGAAGGCGAAAGCCGCUGUAUAUGCACUGACGCCUGCCCGGUGCCGGAAGGUUAAGAGGAUCCGUCAAUCCCUUCGGGAUGAAGCGGUGAAUUCAAGCCCCGGUAAACGGCGGUGGUAACUAUAACCAUCCUAAGGUAGCGAAAUUCCUUGUCGGGUAAGUUCCGACCUGCACGAAUGGCGUA
Molecule: ribosomal RNA, 2147 nt
Filed under: human gut metagenome
Description: bacterial LSU rRNA
Rfam family: Bacterial large subunit ribosomal RNA
Source: RNAcentral